CUUCAUUACCAUUUCCAUUCCACUCAGGAAUCAGGCUCUUUACUGUCACCGUGAUGUAAUGAGAGAUAGUAUCAGAUUCAGAUAACCUCUAAAAUGCAGCUCUUAAGGAACAAGAGUUCAAGAAUACAAGAAAUGUGCAUGCUGCUCUGUGCCAUUCUAUUUCUGUAUUGCCAGAUUUCUUCUGUGGGGGCUACCAAUCAGACAUACAUUGCAGAGGUGAUGAUCGAGGGAAAUGCAAGCUUGGACGUCUCUGCUUUUCUGGCUGGACUCCAGUGGCUCGCCACAGACACAGCUACCAUCAUGGAAGCUACAUUAAUAGCUCAGUGUGAAAUCAUUGGUGACGAGACCACAUGCUGGUGUGAGAAUGGCUAUAUUUGGAGUGAUGUUGUGUGUGACUCUGUAAAAACUUGCUGCAACACUGUCAAAUGUGUGGCAAACAUAUCUGACUACACACCACUAUGUGUACCAAAAGUUAACGGUAAGCUUUGCUAUAAAAUCAUUAAUUUUGUAAUAACCAGAAAAUAA
This 525-nucleotide long non-coding RNA is filed under the name Astyanax mexicanus (Mexican tetra). Its description in RNAcentral is "lncRNA (ENSAMXG00005002108.1)". Lineage: Eukaryota; Metazoa; Chordata; Actinopteri; Characiformes; Acestrorhamphidae. The record is from RNAcentral.